This 441-nucleotide ribosomal RNA is filed under the name uncultured Vibrio sp. Its description in RNAcentral is "bacterial SSU rRNA". It matches the Rfam family "Bacterial small subunit ribosomal RNA", at positions 349 to 782 of the family's 1533-position model. The record is from RNAcentral. Lineage: Bacteria; Pseudomonadati; Pseudomonadota; Gammaproteobacteria; Vibrionales; Vibrionaceae.
CAGCAGUGGGGAAUAUUGCACAAUGGGCGAAAGCCUGAUGCAGCCAUGCCGCGUGUAUGAAGAAGGCCUUCGGGUUGUAAAGUACUUUCAGUUGUGAGGAAGGGGGUAACGUUAAUAGCGUUAUCUCUUGACGUUAGCAACAGAAGAAGCACCGGCUAACUCCGUGCCAGCAGCCGCGGUAAUACGGAGGGUGCGAGCGUUAAUCGGAAUUACUGGGCGUAAAGCGCAUGCAGGUGGUUCAUUAAGUCAGAUGUGAAAGCCCGGGGCUCAACCUCGGAACUGCAUUUGAAACUGGUGAACUAGAGUGCUGUAGAGGGGGGUAGAAUUUCAGGUGUAGCGGUGAAAUGCGUAGAGAUCUGAAGGAAUACCAGUGGCGAAGGCGGCCCCCUGGACAGACACUGACACUCAGAUGCGAAAGCGUGGGGAGCAAACAGGAUUAGA